RNAcentral lists this ribosomal RNA (482 nucleotides) under uncultured bacterium. RNAcentral describes it as "partial 16S ribosomal RNA". It matches the Rfam family "Bacterial small subunit ribosomal RNA", at positions 30 to 507 of the family's 1533-position model. The record is from RNAcentral.
AUUGAACGCUGGCGGCAUGCUUUACACAUGCAAGUCGAACGGUAACAGGCCGCAAGGUUCUUACGAGUGGCGAACGGUUGAGUAAUGCAUCGGAACGUGCCCAGUCGUGGGUGUUAACUACUCGAAAUAGUAGCUAAUACCGCAUACGAUCUCUGGCUGACAGCGGGUGACCGUAAGGCCUCUCGCGAUUUUAGCCGCCGAUGUCAGAUUAGGUAGUUGGUGGGGUAAAGGCUCACCAAGCCAACGAUCUGUAGCUGGUCUGAGAGGACGAACAGCCACACUGGGACUGAGACACGGCCCAGACUCCUACGGGAGGCAGCAGUGGGGAAUAUUGGACAAUGGGCGCAAGCCUGAUCCAGCAAUGCCGCGUGCAGGAAGAAGGCCUUCGGGUUGUAAACUGCUUUUGUACGGAACGAAACGGCGCUGGUUAAUACCCGGGGCUAAUGACGGUACCGUAAGAAUAAGCACCGGCUAACUACGUG